UACGUAGGGGGCAAGCGUUGUCCGGAAUCAUUGGGCGUAAAGCGCGUGUAGGCGGCCAGAAAAGUCCGCUGUGAAAACUCGAGGCUCAACUUCGAGCUGUCGGUGGAAACUUUCUGGCUAGGGUCCGGAAGAGGAGAAUGGAAUUCCUGGUGUAGCGGUGAAAUGCGCAGAUAUCAGGAAGAACACCCGUGGCGAAGGCGGUUCUCUGGGACGGUACUGACGCUGAGACGCGAAAGCGUGGGGAGCGAACAGG
RNAcentral lists this ribosomal RNA (253 nucleotides) under uncultured bacterium. Its description in RNAcentral is "partial 16S ribosomal RNA". It matches the Rfam family "Bacterial small subunit ribosomal RNA", at positions 524 to 776 of the family's 1533-position model. The record is from RNAcentral.